GACGAACGCUGGCGGCGUGCUUAACACAUGCAAGUCGAACGCUGAAGCACCAGCUUGCUGGUGUGGAUGAGUGGCGAACGGGUGAGUAAUACGUGAGUAACCUGCCCUUGACUCUAGGAUAAGCCCGGGAAACUGGGUCUAAUACUGGAUGCUACAUGUCACCGCAUGGUGGUGUGUGGAAAGGGUUUACUGGUCUUGGAUGGGCUCACGGCCUAUCAGCUUGUUGGUGAGGUAAUGGCUCACCAAGGCGACGACGGGUAGCCGGCCUGAGAGGGUGACCGGCCACACUGGGACUGAGACACGGCCCAGACUCCUACGGGAGGCAGAAGUGGGGAAGAUUGCACAAUGGGCGAAAGCCUGAUGCAGCGACGCCGCGUGAGGGAUGACGGCCUUCGGGUUGUAAACCUCUUUCAGCAGGGAAGAAGCCACAAGUGACGGUACCUGCAGAAGAAGCGCCGGCUAACUACGUG
RNAcentral lists this ribosomal RNA (470 nucleotides) under uncultured bacterium. Its description in RNAcentral is "partial 16S ribosomal RNA". It matches the Rfam family "Bacterial small subunit ribosomal RNA", at positions 28 to 507 of the family's 1533-position model. The record is from RNAcentral.